GCUGAGAAAACUGAGGCUCAGAGAGGUCAAGUGACUUAAGGUUACACCAUGAAUGAUGGGUUCAAGACUGGAAUUCAGAUGAGGAAACUGAGGCCCAAAGAGAUAUCCAAAAUUCAACCCCCAUCCAGUGUUUCAAGAUUUGGGAAUGAACAUCAUAAAAUCCUGUAAUGUUAGGACCAUUUCACUGUUUGAAAAAUACAGGUGAGAUUCUCUCUGCUGGAAAGAGGAGUCUUCAGGCAAGUCAGUUUCUCUUCAGUCCUCAGAGGAAAAGAGCCUGUGUGGCAACACAGAAACCGGUUGCGAAACGAAUGUGCACGAGCCACGGGCCACCAGCAUGGCUCAGCAGGCGAGGCCUGGAUCAUGUGUCUGACCUUCAGCAGAAGCAGUUUCGGCUUAAAUGUUGCUUGCUAUCAUGUCACCCUGCUUUGUCUUUACCAUGGAACUCAUCACCACCUGACAUUUUAUUUUUUGCUUUAUUGGUUCAUUGUCUAUUUUCCCAGUAGAAGAUCUAAGCCCGCCUUGCAAGUCACUGCCGUAUACAAAGUCCAUGCCCGCUGGCCCAGGGUCUGAAAGAAGCCAAGCACAACCUAGAAUAAAGGCAAUUCUGUAGUUGACAUGUUCUUUUUCUCCUCCCUGCCUUGUGUUGCUCCUGGAAAUCAGAGCCUAGUGCUAUUUGCAGGACAAGGAUGAACUCCAAAGCUUAAGUUUUGUUAUCUGUAGCUUAGGUAAAAUACUUAA
Equus quagga is the source of this 738-nucleotide long non-coding RNA. RefSeq lists it as uncharacterized. Lineage: Eukaryota; Metazoa; Chordata; Mammalia; Perissodactyla; Equidae. The record is from RefSeq and is a predicted model, not a curated record. The transcript has 5 exons.